This 253-nucleotide ribosomal RNA is filed under the name uncultured bacterium. RNAcentral describes it as "partial 16S ribosomal RNA". It matches the Rfam family "Bacterial small subunit ribosomal RNA", at positions 524 to 776 of the family's 1533-position model. The record is from RNAcentral.
UACGUAGGGUGCAAGCGUUAAUCGGAAUUACUGGGCGUAAAGCGUGCGCAGGCGGUUAUGCACGACAGAUGUGAAAUCCCCGGGCUUAACCUGGGAACCGCAUUUGUGACUGCAUAGCUGGAGUACGGCAGAGGGGGAUGGAAUUCCGCGUGUAGCAGUGAAAUGCGUAGAUAUGCGGAGGAACACCGAUGGCGAAGGCAGUCCCCUGGGCCUGUACUGACGCUCAUGCACGAAAGCGUGGGGAGCAAACAGG